RNAcentral lists this transfer RNA (87 nucleotides) under Ignavibacteriota bacterium. RNAcentral describes it as "Ignavibacteriae bacterium tRNA-Ser". It matches the Rfam family "tRNA". Rfam says of the family: Transfer RNA (tRNA) molecules are approximately 80 nucleotides in length. Their secondary structure includes four short double-helical elements and three loops (D, anti-codon, and T loops). Further hydrogen bonds mediate the characteristic L-shaped molecular structure. tRNAs have two regions of fundamental functional importance: the anti-codon, which is responsible for specific mRNA codon recognition, and the 3' end, to which the tRNAs corresponding amino acid is attached (by aminoacyl-tRNA synthetases). tRNAs cope with the degeneracy of the genetic code in two manners: having more than one tRNA (with a specific anti-codon) for a particular amino acid; and 'wobble' base-pairing, i.e. permitting non-standard base-pairing at the 3rd anti-codon position. The record is from RNAcentral. RNAcentral also lists the same sequence under 3 other names. Lineage: Bacteria; Pseudomonadati; Ignavibacteriota.
GGAAAGGUGCAAGAGUGGUUGAAUUGGCACGCCUGGAAAGCGUGUGUACCGGUAACGGUACCGCGGGUUCGAAUCCCGCCCUUUCCG